This 88-nucleotide transfer RNA is filed under the name uncultured archaeon. Its description in RNAcentral is "tRNA-Leu". It matches the Rfam family "tRNA". Rfam says of the family: Transfer RNA (tRNA) molecules are approximately 80 nucleotides in length. The record is from RNAcentral.
GCGGAGGUAGCAGAGCUAGGUCAAAUGCGACAGACUCAAGAUCUGUUUCCGAAGGGAUACGCCGGUUCAAAUCCGGCCCUCCGCACUA